This 301-nucleotide ribosomal RNA is filed under the name uncultured bacterium. RNAcentral describes it as "partial 16S ribosomal RNA". It matches the Rfam family "Bacterial small subunit ribosomal RNA", at positions 509 to 807 of the family's 1533-position model. The record is from RNAcentral.
CAGUAGCCGCGGGAAUACGUAGGGUGCAAGCGUUAAUCGGAAUUACUGGGCGUAAAGCGUGCGCAGGCGGUGUUGUAAGACUGAUGUGAAAUCCCCGGGCUCAACCUGGGAACUGCAUUGGUGACUGCAGCGCUGGAGUGCGGCAGAGGGGGAUGGAACUCCGCGUGUAGCAGUGAAAUGCGUAGAUAUGCGGAGGAACACCGAUGGCGAAGGCAAUCCCCUGGGCCUGCACUGACGCUCAUGCACGAAAGCGUGGGGAGCAAACAGGAUUAGAUACCCCCGUAGUCCCUGUCUCUUAUAC